AAAUGAAUAGACGGGCACCCGCACAAGCGGUGGAGCAUGCUGUUUAAUUCGACGAUACGCGAAGAACCUUACCUAGACUUGACAUCCCCAGCAAAGCUAUAGAAAUAUAGUAGAGGUUAUCUGGGUGACAGGUGGUGCAUGGUUGUCGUCAGCUCGUGUCGUGAGAUGUUCGGUUAAGUCCGAUAACGAGCGCAACCCUUAUUAUUAGUUGCUAACAUUAAGUUGAGAACUCUAAUAAGACCGCCGGUGGUAAACCGGAGGAAGGUGGGGAUGAUGUCAAAUCAUCAUGCCCCUUAUGUCUAGGGCUACAGGCGUGCUACAAUGGCCAAUACAAAGAGAUGCAAUACUGCGAAGUGGAGCUAAUCUCCAAAAUUGGUCUCAGUUCGGAUUGGAGUCUGCAACUCGACUCCAUGAAGCUGGAAUCGCUAGUAAUCCUGAAUCAGAACGUCAGGGUGAAUACGUUCCCGGGUGUUGUACACACCGCCCGU
This 488-nucleotide ribosomal RNA is filed under the name uncultured bacterium. Its description in RNAcentral is "bacterial SSU rRNA". It matches the Rfam family "Bacterial small subunit ribosomal RNA", at positions 903 to 1397 of the family's 1533-position model. The record is from RNAcentral.